Long non-coding RNA from Oreochromis niloticus (Nile tilapia), 1533 nucleotides. RefSeq lists it as uncharacterized. The record is from RefSeq and is a predicted model, not a curated record. NCBI's taxonomy places the organism in Eukaryota, Metazoa, Chordata, Actinopteri, Cichliformes, Cichlidae. The transcript is spliced from 2 exons.
CAGUAUAUCAAUGGUGUCGCUAAUACUACUGCCAUGCCAUCUCGACUUCAACCACUGCCACUUGCAGAAAAUAAGUAGGUCAAAAGUUUUUGGUUCAGAGCUGCACAGGUCCAAGUUUGUAUAGUAAGAAUGGCUCAAAUGAUCUUUUCCUUUAUCUCUAUAAGGACAUUUAACCUUUUUAUGUUGUUUUUUUCGGUAAUUUUAUGGUUUGUUAUACCCUCCCACCGCUUUUGAGUUACACUGCAGCUGCACCCAGCUGUACACCAUCAGCUCAUCAGCACCAAAUGGCAGAAAGACAAAGUUAGCACUAAGAUGGUGAACAUUAAUCAGCGAAGCAGCCAGGGACGUUUGCUGAAAACAUUCUCUGGGGAUUGGAGCGCCUUGCGAGCUGAGGGUCAUCUUACAGAUGGAGACGUUUGCUAAGUUUUUGCAGCUCUGCUACAGUAGCUUAGUCAUAUUAUUAGAUUCUCAUCAGUGAAGAAGCACAUACGCUAAAGCUGUCUGGAAAUCUGAAAAGAGAAUAAGUUGAGUUGCAGUUCAAAAAGGACAAAGGCUGGACAGGCACAUCGAGGCUGGUGCCCUACUAUUCAUGAGCCAAAAGCCAGCUGGCAUGAAUUCUUAAUCUCACUCAUGAAUGCCCAUGAUUUAUUGAUGCUGUUCCAGAGGAAAAGUUUCCCCCUAUGUCCAAAGGCUACUGCUUCAAUCUGAAGUUUUACUGUCCCGAGACAGCGACGACAUUACAGUGAAGGGAUACAUCGAGUUUCAAACAUCUAUAUUCCCUCGUUUCCUUUUCUUUCCCUAAAUCCUAGGUUAAUUUCUCAAGCCCCUUGUUUCCCACAUGGCAGUCAGCGGUAAUAUUAGUCCCCGCUGUACUGUACCAGCGAGCACCAUCUUCACUGCAAAUUUGACUCAAACGGCUCUCUUGGUUCCCUUGGAAACCAGGUGCUCAAAGAUCAGGAAAGAUCCAUUUCACACUUCAGCAGCGAGCAGAGAGACAAAGAGAUGCUUAGACAAAAGGAAAGUGGGAGGGAGAGAGGAUUAGAGAGAGAGAGAGAGGUAGGGGGGUAAAGGGAGCUUGACCUUAAAAGAUGCCUUCUUUUUACAGCCCCUUUGUCUCGAAACAGAAUGGAAAUAGCAACAAAUAGAUCAGGAAAAAUUCUUGUUGCUUCCUCUCUCUUGGGGUUUUCUGUCUUUUUAGAGAUGCCAGUAUGGGAAUGGGUUUAUUUAGAUGUGUGUCUGUAGAGAAGAGGGUGAAAAUGGCUGCAGUUCUAAUUUAUUGAUGCAGCUUUUAUUGUUAUCAGGUGUAAGGCAUGCAUGCGUGCUCUUCACACACAGACUAACAGAAGGAGAUAGCCUAAUGCAGAGAGCCAGCCUGCAUCUGAAAUGCUGCUAAAGGUCAAGAUUUCCACUUAUACACAGAUGCACUUUUUCCACUUGUUAAGAGCUUUCCAGAAAACUCAACAUCUCCCACAAACUCCUUCAGUUUGCUAUAUUCUUAAACACAUUGAACACCCAGGAAAACAAACUGUGCAG